UGUGGUUCUUGGGUGAUGCACCUAGAAUCAGGCUCCCUCCUCUCUGGUUCUGGGUGUGUCACCCGAGAAUGGCA
Myotis lucifugus (little brown bat) is the source of this 74-nucleotide non-coding RNA. The record is from Rfam. Lineage: Eukaryota; Metazoa; Chordata; Mammalia; Chiroptera; Vespertilionidae.